AAAAAGGAAGGAAUUAAUUAUAUACAGGUCCUGUAAAUAUAAUAAAUUAUAAAUAUAUUUUUACGUACAAAUUUCAACGUUUAUAUUUUAUUUUUACAAAAGCUAUGAUAUUUUUAAAUAUAUUUCUGCCGUUAGAAUCCGUUAGAAAAUUUUAGUUAACCAUACGUUACAUAAUUAACCCUAGUUAGUUAAUGAGGUGAAUUGAUUUUUUUAUCACUCUUCAAUUAAUAGUUGAAAUUUUUAGAGGAAUAUAUUUGUGAUGACAAAAAGGUCAUUCCACUCAUAAAAUCGACAGUACUUUAACGGUAACAAACCAGAGUGACAUAUUUGAAAAUAUUAGGACUUUUAUAAAAACAGCAUAUAAAAAUUAAACUUUGUAGGUAUACAUCUACAACUUUUAUAGAGACAGCAUAUAAAAUUUGAACUUUGUAGGAAUAUAUCUAAAUUCACUAUAUUUACAAGGAUCUUAUAAAAUUAAUCCAAAA
Molecule: long non-coding RNA, 485 nt
Filed under: Ananas comosus (pineapple)
Lineage: Eukaryota; Viridiplantae; Streptophyta; Magnoliopsida; Poales; Bromeliaceae
Description: long non-coding RNA (ACOM_LNC029794)
Source: RNAcentral